AUCCUUAUUAUUAUUAUUACUACCGAUAACUGUAUUAGAAUUUCAAUGUACAAAAAAAACUUGUUCAUAAAAAAUACAUAGUAAAAAUUUGGAUUUAACGCGGAAAAAAGGUUGGUUUACCCAUUUUAAAUACAAAAUUUUAGUAGUUUGAAGUAUAACCAUAUACUAUUUUAGCAUAAAAAGUUUCGGUGAAAUAGGCAGAUAAACCCUUUUAUAUGAAACACUUAAAACAAUUAAAGCUUAAUAUAAUAUUAAAUUUAGCUGCUUACAUAUAAGAUUAAUUAAUAAACGAACUCUAUAUUAACUGUCUUGAAAGCAAUAUCAACAUCAUAAAACAAAAACCAAACCUAUAGCAAGGGCUACACCAUGCAUCCUCUCUAGGAAGCUAGAAUAUCAUAUUCCACAUUAAAUUCAAUAGUAAAUUGUUCAUAUAUAUAACGAGUUCUUCCAUGAAAGUUAUCCCAAAAUUUAACGAAAAGGAGGGGGUGAUGACCGGAUGACAUGCCCGAUUGGCCAUGGUGGCAUGCUCAAUAUUGCUCGUGCAUAACGUACAUAAAGUUGAUGUGGAAGACGGUUUUGUAUGUUAUUUGGUGGUGGCGGUGAUGGAGAAGCAUCGACAGUGUAUCCGAUCGCCAAGGAGGGAAGGGUAAUUAGAGAUAGAAACAAUAAUAGGAAAUAAACAAAUAGAAGGGAAGCUAGUGAAGAAGAAUUAGAUGGCUUCAUUUUUGGAGAUGAGAUCUUCAAGAAAAAUAGAAGAUGGUUUGGGUUUAUAUGAAACAAAAGCCUGGGAUUAAUCCCUUUAUACAAAAAUUGCCUUUUUCAAAAGAAAGACAAAAAAAAAAAGGUAUUGUGUGAAAGUUGGAAGAAACUUCCGAUCUUCUGCCAAGAAAAUGGUUAUGUAACUUUAAAUUAUAUUUAAAAGUCAAACAUAGAAAAUUAGUGCAAUGAAAACAAAAUUCUAUGAAUAAAAAUCAAUUGUGUCUAAUUGAUAUCAGCCAUGAGAACAUAUACAUCCAAACUAAGGAAAAUAUCAAAUGAAUUCGUCUGAACAUGUGUGAAAAAAGAGAUUAUUUGAUGACAUUCAAAUACAUCUUAAUAAGAAAUUUUGAAUCAAUCAUAAAUUACCAGAAAUUUUGGACCAAUCAUAAAUUACCACGUUAAUGACUAAAUUAAUGACGAAAAAAUACAAAUAGUUGAAUUUAAUUGAACUCAUGAAUGGAUCAAUUCUUAUGUUGCAUGUUUUUUAUUAUGAUCGUUGAUCAAAUUAAUUAUUUUUAUCUUAUUAAAUAUUGAAAAAAUUGGACAAAUUUUUUAAUUUUCUUAAAUAAGAUUUCGAGAUUUUUGUUCACCAUUUUAUCCCUCACGUUAAUUGUAACUAAUAUUUCUUUUCGAAAAUAUAUAAUAAUAUAAUACCAUAAUUAUAUCAUAUCUCAUUUAUUAUGUAUCUAAAAACUUGACUGUUUAAUUUAUUUAAUGAAAUAUAAUUUAAUUCUCAUUUAUUAGUGUUCCAAUUUAAUUAUGGUAUAUAUUUGAGUCAAAUAUGGUAAUAAUAUAUUAAAUAUUUAUCACAAAAGUAACCAUUUUGUCUUAAUUGCACAUUUAACAAACGUUUUGUAACUUUGAUCAUCUUCUUCAACAAGAAUUUCAUACACUUUCGGGCGUUCUCACCCAAUAAUUUGACCGUCUGAUUUAUUUCUCAUCGAUCAAUCUUUCAUAUUUUGGUCAUCUCGUUCAACUUAUUUAGUGAGUGCAUAUUUUGAUUUAAUUUUUCGUUGAAGUUUUCGAUCAAAAUAAUGUGAACUUUUCGAUCAUCUCCUUCAAUUUAAUUAUUUCAAGUUAUUAAUUUUUUUUCUUAAAUUGUAUAAUAUAGUAUACAAUAUAUAAUGAACUUUUUUUCCAUUUCUUAUUUAAUACUACGUGCGGUUAAUGACCUUUUUCAAAUUUAUGGACUUCGGACUAUUUAUACUUUUUUAGGUGUAACGUCCAAAAAGUUUAAAUAACUUACUUUGAGUAUUACAUUAAAUGAAAUUGGAAGUUAUGAAAUUUAUUUGAUGUUAGAUUAAAUUAAAAUUAGAAGAUAAGGAAUUUAGUUGGUGUAAUUUUUUGAAUUAAUUAAAUAUAUAUAUUUAGGUAUGUAUAUUUAAUUAAAGAUUUUGGAAUUUUGUGAAAAAUGUUAUAACAUGAGAGCCCACUAUCUCGAGCUCUUCCAGGAUUAGAACUUUAGAACAUUCGAGGACGAAAGUUUGUCAAAAGAAGGAAAAUUGUAUCUCUCCAAAAAUUAAGGUAAUAUAUCAAAUGUAACCAUUUUUUUCCCAAGUAAUUAUAUUUCAAUAUAUAAUUAAUAUUUUUCUUCUAAACAAAUCCAAUUCAUUCUCUUUUCUUAUUUACCCAAAUCAUAUCAACUUCUCUCCACAAACAAUAUUUAUCUUUAUCCAAAUAAUUAAUUAUAUCUUAAGUAAUAGUUAAUUUUUCACAAAUAGAAUUAUCAUAUAUAACCACAUAUACAUAUCAUUAUCAUAUCUCUAACAAAAAAAAUCAAUCUUCAAUUUAAUUAAAUAAAUACCCAAAUUAUUUAAUUAAAUUUAAUCUAAACAGCACCAAACAUUCAAUUGUACUAAUUAAUUAAAUAUUCAACUAAAAAAUAUUUAAUUAAUUUAUUUCUACAAAACCAUCAAUUCUAAAUCAAAUAUUUCAAAUUAACGUCUACUAGUUAUAACAUAAUUAAAUAAAAUUAAGAUAAUUAUAUUCAAUAUUACCUUAAUCGUUGGGGGUUACAAUCUUCCCUCCGGUGUGAAACUUUCAUCUUCGAAAGUUCUAUUCAUCGAACAACUUGAAAUAUUAGACUCUCAUAUUUUAACAUUUUUCAUCAAAUUCCAAAAUCUUUAAUUAAAGAUACAUACCUAUGUAUAUAUAUUUAAUUAACUGAACACAUUACACUAAAUAAAUUCUUUACCUAAUUUUAAUCUAACACUAAAUAAAUUUCAUAACUUUCAUUUCCAUUUAAUGCAAUACUCAUAAUAAGUUCCUUAAACUUUUGGGGUGUUACAAUCUUCCCUUGCUAAGAAACUUUUGUCCCUCAAAAGUUAUAGUCCUUGAACAAUUCGGGUAUCAUGCUCUGUUAGCUCUCAUUCCACUCUCCUUUAUUUAUUUUUAUUUAUUUUAAUAUCUCCUACAUUGUGAAAAACAAGUUAGAAUACUUUUUAUACUCCUUAAAGUUUGAGUCAUUUUGAUAAGAACAAUUAUAACCAAUUUAGUUGGACAUAAGACUUGAAUUCCGUUAGAUGUUGAAAAAAAUGAAGAUAAAAGCAAAAUGAAAGUUAAUUAUAAAGUGAGGGGCAGAAUGGUCUUUUCUUAAGAUCAUUCUAAGAAAAUUCGAAUGCUUAUCAUAUUCAAAAUUUAAAUACAUACAUUAUAUCAAAACAUAAUAUCAAUACAUACAUACAUUUUUUUAAAUUCAAUAAAUAGAUAUACAUACAUUUUUCAUUAUAUUAUGCACUACAUACAUACAUACAUUUUUCUAAUAUUUAACAAACAUACAUUUGAAUCUAAAUCCUAAAAACAUUCAUUAUCUUAUACACAUUCAAUUUUCUAAUUUUUCUUUUAUAAAAAGAUAAUAACCUUGUGGCGGUGAACGACAAUGGAGAACGGUGGGCGGCAAAAAGAACGGUGGUGGCGACAACGAACAACAUGAACGGUGGCGCAAGACAACAAGCUCUCUUCCUGAUCUCUCUCAACCCUCUUUACAAUUCUCUUUGUGUUUUUGUUCUGUUUUGUGUUCAUGAAGAAAGAAAUAGACCCGACAUUUCCCAACGUUCUAAAAAAAGUCAGGGUAACACACCAUCCUUGACGUCGUACAUGCAAACGUCAGAGAACGUUAAAACCUUCCUCGACGUGUCACUAAUGGUGUCGCAGAUAGGUUACAUUUCAAAUUUAUUAGAUAUUAUUUUUCCACGACAUGGUCAACGCGACAUCGGUCAAAGGGGACCUAAUUCUGACGUGCCUCUACCACAUGUAGGGAAAGUUUACGUAUUUACUAACUGUAUUAUUCUACUUUUCCUAACGUGUGUUAGGGACACGCCAAGGAAAAGUGAAACAAUUAUUUAAUUAAUGUUCCCACUUUCUCCGACGUGUCUCUACCACACGUUGGAGAAAGUGGAAACAUUAAAUAAUUGUCUCCAUCUUCUCUGACGUGUGUCUCUUGAACGUUGGGGAACAUCUCUAAAGCCGACGCAAGUAACAAUUUGGUUGGUCAAGGUCGAUGCCAAUUUUUCCAACAUCGUUUUGUAUAUAUUCAAGUAAAAAUAGAAAUAUUAUAGUAUCUAAAAGAACAUUGUUGACUAACCCGAGACAAAGAAUGUCGGUUCUUAACUAUUGGGAAUCAUAAAAAAUAGACAAUAAUAUAACAAUUUAACAAAAAUAAAUUUGUAAAAACAAACACAAGAAGACAAGACUUUAAUGUCGAUUUUAAACUGAUAUUAUUGGGGAUUUAUGAUGUCGGUUUUAUACCGACAUUGUUGGCCUCUUUAAUGUCAGCUUUAAACCAACACCAAAGCCCAAUCGAUGUUAAAGGACUUUAAUAACAUGAUCAUAGAUGUCAAUUUAAAAUAGACACCGUACCUCUUUAAUGUAGAUUUGAAACCAACUUCAAAGCCCAAUCAACAUUAAAGAGCUUUAAUAACACUAUCAUAGAUAUCAGUUGUCAACCGACAUGAAAACCCUUUAAUGUUGGUUUUAAACCAACAUUAAAGCCUAGUUUUAUACUAGCAUUACCUUCCAUCCUGGCAGGACAAGCACCAGGAUUUGCCCAAGAACUUAAAUCUCUAAAGCUUGUUAUCCUUCAUCUUGAUUAGGAAACACCGAGAUUAGUCUCGAGAUUAGGAUUCUUAACUUCUCUGCCUUCCAUUUUGGCUAGAUAAGAAUCGAGAUUAGCCCGAGAACUCAAUAUCUAAAGCUUUAUGUUUUUCAUCUCAGCCAAGAAACAUCGAGGUUAUCCUCGGGGUUAGGCUUCUUAACUUCUCUGCCUUAUUCCAUCCUGGCCACAAGCACCAAGAGAUUAGCUCGAGAACUCUAUCUCUAAAGCCUUUUGUCCUUCUUCUCGAUCGAGAAAUACCGAGAUUAGCCUCGAGAUUAAACUUCUUAACUCCUUUGCCUUCCAUCUCGGUUGGACAAGCAAUGACAUUAGUCCAGGAACUCAAUCUCUAAAGUUUUAUGUCCUUCAUCUCAGUCGGGAAACAUCGAGAUUAGCCCCAAAAUUUCACUUCUUUCUUCAAUUUCACUUAACUUCUCUAUCUUCCAUCCCAAUCAGGCAACACCGGGAUUAACACAAUAACUUAAUCUCUAAAGCUUUUUGUCCUUCAUCUUGGGUUGGAAAACACCAAGAUUAAUCCUAAGCUUUCACUUCUAACAUUUUGUGUGCCGUGUAUGCCACCAAAGAUGGAAAGAAAAUAAUUGCAAUUAGUUCGAGUGAUUUAGGUUUUUAUGGCCUUUUUUUGGUAUUUCACCGUCUAUUUUGAGUUUUGUACAUAAUGGGUUAAAAAAUUGCUAGGAGAUGUAAAUAUUUUGCCUAAUUAUUCUAUUUCAAGGAAUCUCUCGGUAUAAAACAUAUCUUUAAUUAUUUAAAAUUAAUUUUGUGAUAUCAAACUUAUAAAAAGGAAAAUUACAAUCUAAAACUGUAAAAUUAAAUAUUAAAUUAAUUAAUUUUGAAAUAAUAAAAUAUGGUGUUUCGAAAUAAAUAGUGAACAUAUUUAGCACUUCCAAAUCAUGACAUCCCAACAAUCAAUCAUCUAAAAACACUUAUUUGCAAAAGACAAUGCAUUUCAUCCCAUAGAAAUAAUUUAUUUCCCUCUACAACUACUAUAUAUUAUAAUAAAGAUUAAUUUAUAAACAAACCCAACUAGGUGUCACUUAAUUAAUUGAUUGAGUUCGUAUUCAAUAUAUUAAAAUAGAGUUUAUUAUGAUCCGGCCAAAUGUAACAAAACUAAAAUAGAAAGAAAAAAGUUCCAUAACAAAUUCAAUGAGAAAGAAAAAACAAUCCUUUUAACAUUAUUGAUGCUUCGUAUAAGGAGCAGAAGCCUCCUCCUUUCUGUGACAAAUGCUUCUUUUUUAAUAUCAUAUCUCACCUAUGUCGAAACUAAUAUUAAACUUUUUUCCCUUAAAAUGCAUCUGAGAAAAAUUCUUCUCACUUAUUUUUCAAAAUAUUAUUUACCUGUUUGAAUCAAAUACACAGCUCGAAAUACGCCCAACAAAUCUAGAAGGGAGGUGGCGGGGACUUUUUGACGUGAUUGGGAGGCCAUUGAAACUUGGGCGGUGGGGGAGGCGGCGGGCGUGCAACAGUUCCACAUAGUGGCGGUGGUGGAAGAUAUUUUCUGUGGUGGCGAUGGCGAUGACGAUUUUUGAACGGAGAAGAGUGGGCAUCAACAAGGGACAGGAAGCUUGAAGAAAGGAGUAAUAAUGUCACCAAAAUGGCGAAAAGGAGAGAAGACAUCGAAGACUUCAUUUUGUUUUGUUUUGGCGUUUUAAUGAAAUCAUAUGGUUUUGUUUGGGUUUGUAUAUAUAUUGUCACACCAUACCAACUACUCCCCGGCGGCUGUUUGACAUUUUCCAAAUUGGUGAGUGAGAAUUAAGUUGGGAUGUGAUAGCUAUGACCCCGUUCAUUUAUUUUUAAUAACUAAAUAAUUUUGGAGUGCCA
RNAcentral lists this long non-coding RNA (6688 nucleotides) under Cucumis sativus (cucumber). Its description in RNAcentral is "long non-coding RNA (CSAT_LNC002215)". The record is from RNAcentral. Lineage: Eukaryota; Viridiplantae; Streptophyta; Magnoliopsida; Cucurbitales; Cucurbitaceae.